RNAcentral lists this long non-coding RNA (2311 nucleotides) under Homo sapiens (human). RNAcentral's name for it is "HSALNT0290378". The record is from RNAcentral. Lineage: Eukaryota; Metazoa; Chordata; Mammalia; Primates; Hominidae.
UGAAGCAGCUUCCGGCGCCUAAUGACCUCAUUGCACAGAGGAGGAGUCCAUCAGGGACCACCCAAACUUCCCACUCGGAAAUGCAGGAUGCCGGAGCUGGGAGGUGGAGCCAGCGUUUCCCUGCCCAGGUUGACGACAUAAAAAGCCCAUUGUAACUCUUCAAGAGGCUGAUGUUUGGCUCGAGCGUACGAGCAAUGUCCUAGAUAUAGGCUUCUGAUCAGCCUGGGUCCUGGCGGGGAGAUGACACCGAGCAGAGCCACCAUUGAGCUGCACUGGAUAAUGUAGUAUGAGUGAGAAAUAAAUCCUUGCUGUUGAAAGCUAUUGAGAUGUUGGGGUCAUUUGUCACGGCGGCAUAAGUGAUCCUAUCCUAACUGAUACAUCACUCUCUCUCUAUCACAACACGGAUUUCCAGGGUAGGGCUCAGAGGGGGUGGUCAUUUUCCUGGAAGACUGAAUUAAUUAAUUCACGCAAAAAGCUAUAUUUGCGUGAAUUAAUUAAUAGUCACGCAAAAAGCUAUAUUUGAGGGGUAAAAUCUGGUCGAAGUGGCCCCCUUCCAGUGUGUGUAUUGAAAGGGAUUCAUUCUUUAGCAGCUGGAAAGAGCUUUGAAGAUAAAUGCACGUAGAGGGCUGAUUGGAGCCUCCUACCUGACCUCGUGGGUCCCUCGCUUCCUCUCUCUUUCCUGAAGCCCUUUGAAGAGACUCCAGUGCACAAGACGACCCUGGAAGGAGUGGGGACACCCCAGCCUUGGGCCAGCUGACAUACUGGAAGAAAAAGCAGGUGAGGGGAGAAUGUCCAUAUGCUGGGAGACUGAUGAGAGAGGAAGGAGGCCGGGCUGGGCAGAGGCCUCUGUGCCUGGGAGCCUCUGAAAGCACCGCUCCGGCGAGGCACGCUCACUGUGGACUUCACAAUAGAGCUGCCCGGGCUGGAGGAUGACAGGAAUGUCCCGAUUGCUUGAUUUCCCUUUCUCAUUAAAGCAGUGGCAAUGAGGAAGGACAAAUGGUGCUGCAUGGCGCUUCCCUGUUCUCCAUUAUCACCGAGAGAGGCUGUCAGCAAGAGGCUCAUUUGGUGCCAUUUUCAUUCCUUGUCACUUUUCCUUCUCUUUCUUUUAUUUAUUCACAGUGCUAGUGAGGUUCCCUUAACGAUCCCCAUCCACACAGCAAACACACCACAAUGAAACAUAACGAGAGAGAGAGGGGGGCAUGAGAAAUUAAUCCAUCCUAAUGAUAAAGAUCAUUAUGGAGACAGAGAAAGAAGGAAGGGAAACAACACAUUUCAUUCUAAUUAGGCCCGAAAGCUCAUUACCGAGAGCAAGGAAAAAAGUGAUCAAGUAGCUGCGUCCUGAAAAAUCCCUUCUCCGGUUCCCUGGGAGCACGACCGCAAAAAAAAAAAAAAAACUACCACGACGGGUUGAUGGUUCCCAAACUGGGGCUCCUCGUGGUAGUCUUGGGGGUGGAAAAUUGCAGGGAAGGUUGCAUGUUUUUUCCUAGACACUAAAAAAAUGUUUAACUGAAAUAAUUAUUUUACUCCUGAUAACCCUGCGUAGGCAGACAAACUAGAAAUGUCAAGUUUGUUUGGGGCUGGAAUUCCAUCAGCUCAGUGGUACCCCUAGCUUGCUGACACCAAUCAGAGGCCUAAUGGGUUGUCAGUAACAUCAUAAGCAUUUCUGGGAUCUCAGCGGCAGCCCAUGCCACAUCUGGGAACAUGGCACUCAUGCCGAAAGGAGCCUCAAGUUCUUCACGGCAAUGCUACUGCACAGCUAGCCAUGUCUUUGCUUCAUUGCACAGGGAGAAAAGAAUAAAUAAUUAUUUAAUCAGUUUAGGAAAAAAAAUCUUUUGAAACAUGAGGUUCACAGGGGGUAAAAUAAUAAAACAGGUCUUUGGCAGUUAAGGGGAAGCAGGAAGGAAAUGGGAAAACAGAGGAGGAAAGGGGCAUUAGCAUUUAUUGAUCGUCUGCCAAUACCAAGCACUAUGCUAAGUGCAACAAAUAAAUGAAUAAGUAAAUAAUCCCAUUUAAUCCUCACAACCACACUCGUGGGGGUAGGUGGGGGGAUGGAUCACUUAUUUAUUCAUUUCACAAGUAUUUAUGAGAACCUACUAGGAACCAGGCAUGGUUUUGAAGUGCUGGAAACACAGCAACAAACAAAAGAAACUGCCUGUCCUAUGGAGCUCUUAACGACUAAAUAAACACUCAGACACAUACACACGUGUGUGUAAGUGUACAUAUACAGGUAUACAUGUAAAGACAUAUGCAUGUUUAUUUUUAUUUUUUUGAGAUGGAGUUUUGCUCUUGUUGCCCAGGCUGGAGUAUAACG